GGAUGUGAGGGUGAUCUGGCUGGGACAUCUGUUGUGUCCCACUGAUCCGCCAGGGUUGAUUCGCCUCAUCUGGCUGCCUAGGCCGGUGUCCACUUCCUCCAUCACCGCCCCACAUAUGUCUCUCCCCAUGCAAUGUGCUGGGGGGGAAAAGGACCACUUACCCAGAUAGAGGAGUCGCCUGUCAAGGGUAUAGGAAUAGCUGGGCUCCUCACUAGAACCUCAAACAAGCUCUCAAGGUCCGUACUAGUAGCUUAAAAAAAAGAGAGAGAGAGAGAGAGAGAAUUAAAUGAAAACCAGGAUUCUCAAUCU
RNAcentral lists this small nuclear RNA (309 nucleotides) under Neogale vison (American mink). Its description in RNAcentral is "Neovison vison (American mink) 7SK RNA (ENSNVIG00000005928.1)". It matches the Rfam family "7SK RNA". Rfam says of the family: 7SK was discovered as an abundant small nuclear RNA in the mid-70s but a possible function has only recently been suggested. Two independent studies have found that 7SK RNA binds the CDK9/cyclin T complex (known as elongation factor P-TEFb). The record is from Rfam by way of RNAcentral. Lineage: Eukaryota; Metazoa; Chordata; Mammalia; Carnivora; Mustelidae.